RNAcentral lists this long non-coding RNA (1036 nucleotides) under Capsicum annuum. Its description in RNAcentral is "long non-coding RNA (CANN_LNC007557)". The record is from RNAcentral. Lineage: Eukaryota; Viridiplantae; Streptophyta; Magnoliopsida; Solanales; Solanaceae.
UGCUCAAUAAAUUAAAAGUCGGAUCAUUUUUCUUAUAAACAUGGUGUCCCACAUACCUCAACUAAUUUCACGAAAUACUUGUCACCUCCCAACAACAACAGGUAUUACGUAUAAGACAGACAGGAAAAAGUACUCAAUACAUUAAAAGUCAGAUCUUUUUCUUGUAACCAUGGUGUCCCACUGAUCCAGCUUAUGUAUAUCUCAACUAAUUCCACAUUGUAACCGUCACCUCCCACCAACAAUAAGCAACCCGUAACUCUAUCCACUGAGGCUAAGACAGACAGAAAAAAAUGCUCAAUAAAUUAAAAGUCAGAUCUUUUUCUCAUAACCAUGGUGUCCCACAUACUUCAACUAAUUCCACGAAAUACCUAUCACCUCCCAACAACAACAAAUAAUAAGUGUCACUUCCCACCAACAACAAGUAACACGUAACUCUAUCCACCAAAGCAAAGAAAAAAAAAAAAAGGGCAGCCCGGUGCACUAAAGCUACCGCUAUGCGCAGUGUCCGGGGAAGGGCCCCACCACAAGGGUGUAUCGUACGCAGCCUUACCUUGCAUUUCUGCUAGAGGCUGUUUUCAAGGCUUGAACCCAUGACCUCCUGGUCACAUGGCGGCAACUUUACCGGUUACGUAUUACGUAACUCAUCCACCAAGGCAAAGACAGGCAGGAAAAAAUGCUCAAUAAAUUAAAAGUCGGAUCAUUUUUCUUAUAAACAUGGUGUCCCACAUACCUCAACUAAUUUCACGAAAUACUUGUCACCUCCCAACAACAACAGGUAUUACGUAUAAGACAGACAGGAAAAAGUACUCAAUACAUUAAAAGUCAGAUCUUUUUCUUGUAACCAUGGUGUCCCACAUACCUCAACUAACUCCACGAAAUACUUUUCACCUCCCAACAACACGUAUUACGUAACUCUAUCCACCAAGGCUAAGACAGUAACAUAAAAAAUGCUAAAUAAAUUAAAAGUUAGAUUUUUUUCUUAUAACCAUGGUGUCCCACAUACCUCAACUAAUUUCAAAAAAUACCUGCCACCUCC